CCCUUAGAUGUCCUGGGCCGCACGCGCGUUACACUGAUGCAUUCAACGAGCUUAUAACCUUGGCCGAGAGGCCUGGACAAUCUUGUUAACGUGCAUCGCGAUAGGGAUAGAUUAUUGAAAUUAUUAAUCUUGAACGAGGAAUUCCUAGUAAACGCAGAUCAUCAAUCUGCAUUGAUUACGUCCCUGCCCUUUGUACACACCGCCCGUCGCACCUACCGAUUGGAUGGUCCGGUGAAGCCUCGGGAUUGUGGUUCUUGCCGCUUUAUUGUGGCGUGACCGCGAGAACUUGUCUAAACCUUAUCAUCUAGAGGAAGGUGAAGUCGUAACA
RNAcentral lists this ribosomal RNA (328 nucleotides) under uncultured eukaryote. Its description in RNAcentral is "partial 18S ribosomal RNA". It matches the Rfam family "Eukaryotic small subunit ribosomal RNA", at positions 1470 to 1796 of the family's 1831-position model. The record is from RNAcentral.